CCCUGCCAUUUGUACACACCGCCCGUCGCUACUACCGAUUGAAUGGUUAUAGUGAGCAUAUGGGAUCAGUAGGUUAGGACUGGCAACAGUCUUUUCCUGCAGAGAACUAUGGCAAACUAGGCUAUUUAGAGGAAGUAAAAGUCGUAACAAGG
This 152-nucleotide ribosomal RNA is filed under the name uncultured eukaryote. Its description in RNAcentral is "partial small subunit ribosomal RNA". It matches the Rfam family "Eukaryotic small subunit ribosomal RNA", at positions 1651 to 1799 of the family's 1831-position model. The record is from RNAcentral.